Molecule: long non-coding RNA, 457 nt
Organism: Nerophis ophidion (straightnose pipefish)
Lineage: Eukaryota; Metazoa; Chordata; Actinopteri; Syngnathiformes; Syngnathidae
Exons: 4
Source: RefSeq, a predicted model, not a curated record
CGAAAUUGGAGUCGCUGGAAAUCUUCUAAACUGACUCCGCCAUGGAUGAAAAUGGAAGUGCUUUUUCGAGCAUGAAUCUUACAAGAGUUGCAGUGUUGAAAGGCUGGAUUUGAACAUUGUGGUGCGGGUUCGUUCCCUCAAUUGAUGCAGUCGGACUUGGACACAGCGUGAAGAUAAUGGAUGAACUACAGCGGAUGCUCAGUCAAGGAAAUUCCCACUUCAUACCUGAACUGAAGAACCGCUGGAGGGCCUUUUUUGAAGAUCUUAUCUUGACCUGAGAUCUACAAAGCAGAGAGAAAGCAGGACCUGCCCAAGCUCUAGGCAUCUUUUUUGUUUAACUGUUUUGUGACCGAGAGCAACGGCUGUUUACGACCCCCCCCUUCCUUGAGAAACAGCUGUUGCCAUGCAAUCAGGGAAAGUCCAAAUAAAAGAGAAGGCGUGCAACCUUUCGUCAGAG